CUCCCACCCGUGCUUACCGUACCCUGUUGCUUCGGCGGGCCCGAAAACAGGCGGCCCGGGGCCUGCCCCCGGGACCGCGCCCGCCGGAUACCCCAAUGGAACACUGUCUGAAAGCGUGCAGUCUGAGUUGAUUGAUACCAAUCAGUUAAAACUUUCAACAAUGGAUCUCUUGGUUCCGGCAUCGAUGAAGAACGCAGCGAAAUGCGAUAACUAAUGUGAAUUGCAGAAUUCAGUGAAUCAUCGAGUCUUUGAACGCACAUUGCGCCCCCUGGUAUUCCGGGGGGCAUGCCUGUCCGAGCGUCAUUUCUCCCCUCCAGCCCCGCUGGUUGUUGGGCCGCGCCCCCCCGGGGGCGGGCCUCGAGAGAAACGGCGGCACCGUCCGGUCCUCGAGCGUAUGGGGCUCUGUCACCCGCUCUAUGGGCCCGG
This 426-nucleotide unclassified non-coding RNA is filed under the name Aspergillus aculeatus. RNAcentral describes it as "sequence contains ITS1, ITS2". The stretch from base 150 to 303 matches the Rfam family "5.8S ribosomal RNA". Lineage: Eukaryota; Fungi; Ascomycota; Eurotiomycetes; Eurotiales; Aspergillaceae. The record is from RNAcentral.